GCCAAGUCCACUUGAAGCUGCCUGAUGCCACUCUUGUAGGGAAUGAUCUCAAACUCAGCCGUUGAGGUCUCCAUGGGGGCCAUUCUUGCCACACUAAAAGACAGGAUAUGUUGGUGGAUGUAAACUGCCAUGUCCACAGCUACCUCAACACUGGAUGGAGUGUUGUGUUCAGUAUAAAUGAAGCCCCAGUGAUGCACGUAAUUAUCCAGCUUCCUCAUUUUUUUCUUUUCCCCUCUCAGAGUUUCCUGGUAUUAACUCUUCCAAUCUAAAUACUUUGGAGAUUUUUCAAACGUGCUUUUAAACUAACAACUGUAGAGGCAAUGGGAGAAUAAUGCUUCUUAUCCUUCAAGGAUUAUUUGUUUUUCCUUUUGUAAACCACAGAAAAAGGAAAGUUUUGAAUUUUUUGCCAUUUACGUAACCCCAUCACUAACUACAGCACUCCAAGUUGCACACUGUCAUUAAAAGCAUGUUCUCUCUUCAUUCCCUGAGCAUUCUGUAAUUCAAAGUUUGGCAAUAGAGGGGCAGAAUAUUCCAGAAUAGAUAUGGAGAGUGCUGAAGUGAUGUUCUGUCCAGUCUUAGUUCAAACAGAAGUCAUGGGGGUUGACAGAAUCUUUAAAAAAAGUUCACUUGUAUUCUGGAUUUCCCACCAAAGUGAAUGUGUCUCUCACCAAACACCAUUUACAUACUUGAUGUUGAGUUGCUCUUUGAGCAGGCCGCUACCUUCUGCUUUCAGCACACAGUCUGUCACCACUUCAGACAGGGGGUUGGUAAAUGUGACCAGCACGUUAGUGGCUUUGUGUACCACUGUUGGACCAAGGACCUACAGAGAAAAAACAUUCUGCUGAGCUUCAGUAUUGGCAUCACUUCUUUUUCACAAUUUUCUCUUUCAAAUUCCACUGCAAACCACUUGUCUUCUCAGGAUAUCCUGAACAGCGAGGAGUAAGGAAUCAAUCUAUGUAUGUAUUUUUGGGCAUGAGAGUUCAAGCUUGAGUCAGCCAUCCGCUGUGUCUGAGGAGCAACGAACUACUGUAGAAUCAAUAAUUUCCAACAUUUUAACUGGGCAGGAAUACAGUGUUAUGUACCACAUAGUGCACAAUACUUAAAAGUGAGAAUAGAAUAAGAAUGCAAUUACUAUCUUGGCAUAUAUGGCCAACUGCUAUACAAUAUAGCUCAGGAGGCUUCUUACAGAACUUUGUUUUCCUUUGUGGGUGUGCAGAUCUAGUCUGAAGGCUGUGAAACACAGAAAUUCUAUCGCUCCUUGUGGGUUGCUUAUGGUACAGAAGGCACAGAGACACAGAAGGGACUGGCUUUUACCUCGAUGGUGAGAAGAGGAUCCUGAAGUACAAUAUCUUUCUCCACUAGAAGUGAUGCUCCCUGUCUGGCUUCACACACAGCAGUCACUAGGAUCUUCCUGUCAUCCAGCAGAGCAUUUUUGUACUGAGAGUAGGAGAUCUUGAAUGAGAUCUCUUUCACUGGAAUGCAAACAGAAGAAGAUAUUUUCGCUCUUUUAUUUUCUAAGUACUAUAAUCCUAAAGAUAACUAUUGGGUCUGUUCACUUUUGGAUGAUGACAGCCCAUAGAUGGAAAUGAUGCUCAGAGAUGACUUCUGCUUGUAUUCACAUUAAACACCAAGUGAUUGGGUAGCUGGGCAGAUCUGAGGAUGGAUUUCUGUAGCAGCCCCUACUGGUGGUUUUCUCAUGAAUCUGAAGCUGGGAAUUUCACAUUCUAUUCUCGCAGAGGAUGCAGAAGUGAAAAGAUGGCCUGAUUACGUGCCUGUGCUGAUGCAGCUGUUCAGCCUCUAUCUUAGAGAGGAUGCACAUUCUGUCUUAUUUGCCAAUGAGGAAAGCAGUGCACUUCUCAGUACAUUGAGAAAUAAUUCUCAUCCACUCUUGGCGUGACAGGAGUUAUUAUAUUGUGGAUUAGUUUGAAGGGGUAGUUGUAUUCACUUGUCCUAGGCUUUGUUAUUCAGCACUCCUCCUCUAACAGCAAGGCAAAAGGCCUUCAUACAAGCAGUGCAGUUCUUUCUUAAUGCAAUCUGCAGUUGCUUCCUGUUGCUACAAAAGUAUCCAUCCUGCCAGUGUCCAAAAUCAAACAUUUUAAACAGGACAAAUAUGUAUGUUUCUCUUCCACUGAAUAACUCUAACCUCAGACCAUUUACAGGCAGGGCACUUUUGAGACGUUCGUGAUGUCUAUAUGAUUUGUCCACAGACUAAAGCUACAUCUUGUUUUGAGCUGUAAUAAGAUUUAAAUUACCUUCUUCAGAUCCAAGUUGAAUAGACCUUGACCACUGCAAGAUCUCUGCCUUUGGUCUUCUUGUGUAGAGAACAGCUGAAGCUCUCAGUUUAACCUUUAUAGUCUUGAAAUCUGCAGUCAAAUUUUGCAGUGCCAAGGUGAGGAGGAUAUCCUGGCCUAUUACAGGAGAUGCAUCCAGCUUCAGCUUCCCUGAGACAGUGGGUUUUUGUCUGGUCACUGGCAUAUUUUGUCUCCCUGCUACUGGAAAUCGUCUCCUGGGUUUUGUAACUUUUUUUCUUCUUCCAGUGCUACUCACACCCAGCAGCUUCAGUGCCUUUUUGUACACCUGCCUUUCUUUGGAGGAUCCUGCUUUAAAAGAUAAAGUGGUCAGAGAUCUCGUAUGCACUGCAUAUAGGGCAAUUAAGCCAGAAUUGCUCUAAGUACAGUUUGUGAAGGCUGGGAAAGAUGCAUGAGAGGAGAAAUUGAGGCCUAGCCAAAAGCUAAUUUUGACCAAAAAAACCCCACUCCUAAAUGAAUAUACAUAGUCAUGAUGGCUGGAAAAUAAAAGUUGGCUUUUAGUUUCUAGCUGGUUAUUCAUGGGCACCUGCUAGAAGCUGUUAGCAUUAGCAAGAUGACUCCUAGAAGAGCUCAGUUCUCCUACGUAAGAUGGGGUAAAUGUCAUCUCCUCUAAAAAUAGAAAGAAUUUACCUUCAGGAUAUUUGUAAUUAUUAGUGACGUCCACUCGGGUGUUAGUGCCCACUGCUUUGGUGCUAAUAAAUUUUCCAAUCUUCCUGGUAUUGGAGUAAAUUCUCUCUGUUCUUUUCUUGCUAUGCUGAAUCCAAGUAACACAGUCAGCAUUCACUGCUGCGAAAACAAAUGAGCUGUCAUAAUCCAGGUUCACAUCUCCUUCCUUAAUGGCUCUGGUGGAAGCUGGGCCACACCGGUAGAUGCCUGUGUGAGAGAAAGAGAAGUUAAGUGAUUAUCUCUUGCAAAAGAUCAGGUGCGGGCCACAAAUCCUCCUGCUGACAGCUAAAGGGACAGGUAGUCACUCCAAAGACAUGUUUUGAUGAACUCCAUUGUUUCUGGGUCUUUACAUUAUGGUAACAGCAUGUCCAGAAAUUCAACAUACAUUUUUUAUCAGAAAGCACAAACAAGGAGGUUGUAAGGCUGAAGUGAUGUAAGUAACGCUUUCUGUGCUGUGAGAAUUGUUCAAAUCCUCCAAAGCCUGUGAGGCUUGUAUGCUGACCUGUCAAAUGAGAGAAGAGAAUGGCAGUUCUCAGCACAGACUGCUCAGAUGUGAGUCAUCGGUGCUGUAUGUGCAGCACUGAUGGACCAGGAGCUUUACUUUGGUUAACUGGGGAGUUUAUCUGGAGCUUGGUAGAUUUGGAAUAGUUGAGUAAAUGAUUCUUUUGGUGGGGCUCAUGAUAUGAGUUUGUGUCUGCAUUAAUAAGAAGAAGCAAAGCAGAAGUCUGAUUCCAAGGGCUGACCAGCGAUUGUCAACAGUUUGCUUUCUAGCAAGCUUCUCAAUGUUUUGGUUUGGGUGCUGUUGCUGAUGAUUUUCUCCCCUUGCCAAUGCUCUCAGUGGGUUGAGCUUGUUUUGUUUUGUUUCUUUUAUUUUGCCUGGGAGGAAGUGUUCAGUGCUGUGAACAAAUACUGUUCUCUAUCACUUGGUUUCAGAACCAGAGAGCAGAUUGUGGCUCCUUUCAUAUAAUUUUGUUUCUAUAUGCUGUGUUUUUCAAGAUACCAUAUGAAAUAUCUUUCUACUUGUUCCAAAAUGUCCUGUAAAAUAUAGGCUAUAGUCAUAUAUAUAUAUAUAUAUAUAUAUAUCAUAUAUAUAUAUAUGUGUGUGUUAAGUUUUCUGUUCAACCCUAUUACUGUAAGCUCUGAAAUCUAUGCUUACCAACUUACUGAAUGGGGUUUUAAUUUGUUUUGUUUCUAUAUCUGUCUAAUGCAAGCCAGCAACAGUGUGUAAUGCUAGCAGCAUGAAUUUCCAACAAGGAAGGCCAACAGCAUCCAGAGUCACAUUAGAAAAAGCAUUGCCAGCAGGUCAAGGAAGAUGAUCUUGCCCCUCUACUAGAGAGACCAGUUCUGGAGUGCUGUGUCCAGUUCUGAGUUCCCUCUUACAAGACAGACAUGGAAAUAAGUUGGUUUUUUUUUUAAGUUUACAACAGCAUUACCUUUGCUUUUUUCCUGGGGUGUUGCAUCCAAAACCUGCCAUCCAUCAUAAAAAGAUCCAAGAUCUUUUCUUGUAAACCAGCUUUCAUUCCAGACAUGGAAAUUCCUUAGAAGGAAGUAGGGAAAAUAAGAAAUCUUUGAUUAAUGCAAUCAAUUUUAUGUAGAGAGAGAUGAUAAAUUCGUGGUGCAGUGCAAGAACAAACCCUGCUGGAGUGUAUAACUCCUCUGCAUAGAGACAAGUAGUUUGCUCCCUUCUGGAGUGCCUGUAUUCAGGCAUUUCUGUAUUCAGACCUCUCAGAAAUACUGGGGUGUUACAAAGGGAUGUUAAAAAAUGUUUAUUUAUUGCAGAACCAAGUAUUCAGCUCUGGGGAAAAAAAAACUUGUCAUAUAGUAGAAACAAAAUUAGAGGUUGUGUCCUCCAACUGUGUGUUGAGCGGCAAGUGUGCCAAAAGUCUUCUCUGCUGGUUCUUCAGAAUGUUGAAACUGACUGUGUCCUGUAUUUCUGAACACAGUGUACUGUUGAUUCUUUGCUAUGGAAUGUUAUAUUUUUGGGAACAUUAGGUUGGGAUGGGUUUUCAGAAGAGUAAUUCUAGAUCUUCCGACUAGAGGAGGAUAUAGUGGAAGAAAUAUUAGGAUAAAAAUCACACUUACCAUA
Non-coding RNA from Coturnix japonica (Japanese quail), 5061 nucleotides. The record is from RefSeq and is a predicted model, not a curated record. Lineage: Eukaryota; Metazoa; Chordata; Aves; Galliformes; Phasianidae.